CUGGGAUUACAGGUGUGAGCCACCUUGCUCAUUCUAGUUUAAACUUUUGAAUGGUUUGUGUCUCCUGAUUGGACUCCUACAAAUACAGAGUCGAUGCUAGGAAGGGUACCAGGAGAUAGACACACACAGAUGGGAUUUGGGAGUAGGUUUGGUUAUCCAAGGAGCAGUGCUGAGCUCCUUGCUAAUGGGAUAUGGGAUGCUGGUGAUUUCCAGGAAGUGACUUCACAAUGACUCAAGCUACCAUAUACUGUUGAUUGUGAAAUGCCAGUUGAAGCAUAUGUCCUGUGAGCUUAGGGGUGCUACAGGUUGACCACUGCAGCAGUAAAGAUGACUCUGAAGAAUGGCAUGGGAUGGAUCCUUUCGAAUGCACUUGAGCAGCGGUCUCCAACCACAGGGCCACAGAGCUGGAGCUGGAUCUACCAUGAACGACUUCUGAAUCCAGGAAGAGAGACUGACUGGGCAACAUGUUAUUCAGGGUCUCCCUCUGUUGUCCAAGGCUGGAGUGUAGUAGUGCUAUCACAGCUGACUGCAGCCUCAACCUUCCAGGCUGAAGCGAUCCUCCCAU
This 565-nucleotide small RNA is filed under the name Pongo abelii (Sumatran orangutan). Its description in RNAcentral is "retained intron". Lineage: Eukaryota; Metazoa; Chordata; Mammalia; Primates; Hominidae. The record is from RNAcentral.